AAUUUUGGACAAUGGGGGAAACCCUGAUCCAGCCACGGCGCGUGUCUGAUGAAGGCGUUCGGGUUGUAAUGUACUGUUGGCAGAGAAGAAAAGGUAUCUCCUAAUACGAGAUACUGCUGACGGUAUCUGCAGAAUAAGCACCGACUAACUACGUGCAAGCAGCAGCGGUAAUACGUCGGUUGCAAGCGUUAAUCGGAAUUACUGGGCGUAAAGCGUGUGUAGGCGGUUCUGAGAGAAAGAUGUGAAAUCCCAAGGCUCAAAAUUGGAUCUGCAUUUUUAACUGCCGAGCUAGAGUAUGUCAGAGGGGGGUAGAAUUCCACGUGUAGCAGUGAAAUGCGUAGAUAUGUGGAGGAAUACCGAUGGCGAAGGCAGCCCCCUGGGAUAAUACUGACGCUCAGACACGAAAGCGUGGGGAGCAAACAGG
This 424-nucleotide ribosomal RNA is filed under the name uncultured bacterium. RNAcentral describes it as "partial 16S ribosomal RNA". It matches the Rfam family "Bacterial small subunit ribosomal RNA", at positions 360 to 776 of the family's 1533-position model. The record is from RNAcentral.